GGGCGCUAGGCUGAUGCAGCUACGCCGCGUGAGGGACGACGGCCUUCGGGUUGUAAACCUCUUUUAGGUGGGAAGAAGCGGAAGUGACGGUACCUGCAGAAAAAGCACCGGUUAACUACGUGCCAGCAGCCGCGGUAAUACGGGGGGUGCAAGCGUUGUCCGGAAUUAUUGGGCGUAAAGAGCUCGUAGGCGGUCUGUCGCGUCUGCUGUGAAAACCCGAGGCUCAACCUCGGGCCUGCAGUGGGUACGGGCAGACUAGAGUGCGGUAGGGGAGAUUGGAAUUCCUGGUGUAGCGGUGGAAUGCGCAUAUAUCGAGAGGAACACCGAUGGGGAAGGCAGAUCUCUGGGCCGUAACUGACGCUGAGGAGCGAAAGCGUGGGGAGCGAACAGGAUUACAUACCCUGGUAGUCCACGCCGUAAACGUUGGGAACUAGAUGUGGGGUCCAUUCCACGGAUUCCGUGUCGCAACUAACGCAUUAAGUUCCCCGCCUGGGGAGUACGGCCGCAAGGCUAAAACUGAAACGAGUUG
Molecule: ribosomal RNA, 529 nt
Filed under: uncultured Amnibacterium sp.
Lineage: Bacteria; Bacillati; Actinomycetota; Actinomycetes; Micrococcales; Microbacteriaceae
Description: bacterial SSU rRNA
Rfam family: Bacterial small subunit ribosomal RNA
Source: RNAcentral